RNAcentral lists this ribosomal RNA (142 nucleotides) under uncultured eukaryote. RNAcentral's name for it is "partial 18S ribosomal RNA". It matches the Rfam family "Eukaryotic small subunit ribosomal RNA", at positions 1299 to 1458 of the family's 1831-position model. The record is from RNAcentral.
UGGUGGAGUGAUUUGUCUGGUUAAUUCCGUUAACGAACGAGACCUCAACCUGCUAAAUAGUCCGCGGCAUCCUCCGGGAUGUGCGAGGGACUUCUUAGAGGGACUAUUGGUGGCUAGCCGAUGGAAGUUUGAGGCAAUAACA